AUGAUACUCCCUCCGUCCGGAAAUAGUUGUCAUCAAAAUGAAUAAAAGUGGAUGUAUCUUAAACUAAAAUACAUCUAAAUACAUCCCCUUUUAUUUAUCUUGAUGACGAGUAUUUUCGGACGGAGGGAGUAGCAA
Non-coding RNA from Triticum aestivum (bread wheat), 135 nucleotides. Lineage: Eukaryota; Viridiplantae; Streptophyta; Magnoliopsida; Poales; Poaceae. The record is from Rfam.